This 253-nucleotide ribosomal RNA is filed under the name uncultured bacterium. RNAcentral describes it as "partial 16S ribosomal RNA". It matches the Rfam family "Bacterial small subunit ribosomal RNA", at positions 524 to 776 of the family's 1533-position model. The record is from RNAcentral.
UACAGAGGUGGCAAGCGUUGUUCGGAAUUACUGGGCGUAAAGGGCGCGUAGGCGGCCUUCUAAGUCAGACGUGAAAUCCCCCGGCUUAACCUGGGAACUGCGUCUGAUACUGGGAGGCCUGAGUAUGGGAGAGGGAUGUAGAAUUCCAGGUGUAGCGGUGAAAUGCGUAGAUAUCUGGAGGAAUACCGGUGGCGAAGGCGGCAUCCUGGACCAUUACUGACGCUGAGGCGCGAAAGCUAGGGGAGCAAACGGG